RNAcentral lists this ribosomal RNA (396 nucleotides) under Penicillium decumbens. RNAcentral describes it as "bacterial SSU rRNA". It matches the Rfam family "Eukaryotic small subunit ribosomal RNA", at positions 21 to 374 of the family's 1831-position model. The record is from RNAcentral. Lineage: Eukaryota; Fungi; Ascomycota; Eurotiomycetes; Eurotiales; Aspergillaceae.
UGUAGUCAUAUGCUUGUCUCAAAGAUUAAGCCAUGCAUGUCUAAGUAUAAGCACUUUAUACUGUGAAACUGCGAAUGGCUCAUUAAAUCAGUUAUCGUUUAUUUGAUAGUACCUUACUACAUGGAUACCUGUGGUAAUUCUAGAGCUAAUACAUGCUAAAAACCCCGACUUCAGGAAGGGGUGUAUUUAUUAGAUAAAAAACCAACGCCCUUCGGGGCUCCUUGGUGAAUCAUAAUAACUUAACGAAUCGCAUGGCCUUGCGCCGGCGAUGGUUCAUUCAAAUUUCUGCCCUAUCAACUUUCGAUGGUAGGAUAGUGGCCUACCAUGGUGGCAACGGGUAACGGGGAAUGGGGCGGGGGCGGCGGGCCGGGCGCGGGGCGCGGCGGACGGCAAACU